CAGUAGCCGCGGGAAUACGGAGGAUCCAAGCGUUAUCCGGAUUUAUUGGGUUUAAAGGGUGCGUAGGUGGCCUGUUAAGUCAUGGGUGAAAGACGGUAGCUCAACUAUCGCAGUGCCGUUGGUACUGACGGGCUUGAAUGAACUAGAGGUAGGCGGAAUGUGACAAGUAGCGGUAAAAUGCAUAGAUAUGUCACAGAACACCAAUUGCGAAGGCAGCUUACUAUGGUUUUAUUGACACUGAGGCACGAAAGCGUGGGGAUCAAACAGGAUUAGAUACCCCCGUAGUCCCUGUCUCUUAUAA
This 301-nucleotide ribosomal RNA is filed under the name uncultured bacterium. RNAcentral describes it as "partial 16S ribosomal RNA". It matches the Rfam family "Bacterial small subunit ribosomal RNA", at positions 509 to 809 of the family's 1533-position model. The record is from RNAcentral.